UACGUAGGGUGCAAGCGUUGUCCGGAAUUACUGGGCGUAAAGCGCGCGCAGGCGGUCUUCCAAGUCAGUGGUGAAAGCCCGGAGCUCAACUCCGGAACUGCCAUUGAAACUGUAAGACUUGAGGACGAGAGAGGUGAGUGGAAUUCCCAGUGUAGAGGUGAAAUUCGUAGAUAUUGGGAAGAACACCGGUGGCGAAGGCGGCUCACUGGCUCGUAUCUGACGCUCAGGCGCGACAGCGUGGGGAUCAAACAGG
This 253-nucleotide ribosomal RNA is filed under the name uncultured bacterium. Its description in RNAcentral is "partial 16S ribosomal RNA". It matches the Rfam family "Bacterial small subunit ribosomal RNA", at positions 524 to 776 of the family's 1533-position model. The record is from RNAcentral.